This 76-nucleotide transfer RNA is filed under the name Magnetococcales bacterium. Its description in RNAcentral is "tRNA-Arg". It matches the Rfam family "tRNA". Rfam says of the family: Transfer RNA (tRNA) molecules are approximately 80 nucleotides in length. Their secondary structure includes four short double-helical elements and three loops (D, anti-codon, and T loops). The record is from RNAcentral. Lineage: Bacteria; Pseudomonadati; Pseudomonadota; Magnetococcia; Magnetococcales.
GCGCCCGUAGCUCAAUGGAUAGAGCACCGGCCUUCUAAGCCGUAGGUUGCAGGUUCGACCCCUGCCGGGCGCGCCA